GCCAGGCAUGAGGGUACAUGCCUGUAACCCCCAGCUAAAGGGAGGCUGAGGCUGGUGAAUUGAUUGAGUAUGGGAAUUCUGAACUACAACAGGAUUGAAGCUGAUCAGAUGAACUAAGUCUGGCGCCAGUAUGAUGAUUUACCAGUAGCAGAGGUUCACCAGGCUGCACGAGGAGUGAACUGGCCCAGGUCAGAAACAGAUCAGGUCAAAGCUUCUGUGCUGAUCAGCAGUACAGUCAAGGCUGUGAGUGGCCACUGUGCUUUUUAACCUAGGUACAACAGGGAGAACAAAU
Molecule: signal recognition particle RNA, 292 nt
Filed under: Phascolarctos cinereus (koala)
Lineage: Eukaryota; Metazoa; Chordata; Mammalia; Diprotodontia; Phascolarctidae
Description: Metazoan signal recognition particle RNA (ENSPCIG00000006386.2)
Rfam family: Metazoan signal recognition particle RNA
About the family: The signal recognition particle (SRP) is a universally conserved ribonucleoprotein.
Source: Rfam by way of RNAcentral